AUUGAACGCUGGCGGCAGGCCUAACACAUGCAAGUCGAGCGAGCGGCGGACGGGUGAGUAAUGUAUAGGGACUGCUCGAUAGAGGGGGAUAACUACUGGAAACGGUAACUAAUGCCGCAUACUAUCGGAUAACCCAUAUGGGAUUAGCUAGUAGGUUAGGUAAUGGCUCACCUAGGCAACGAUCCCUAGCUGGUCUGAGAGGAUGAUCGGCCACACGGGGACUGAGACACGGCCCAGACUCCUACGGAGGCAGCAGUGGGGAAUAUUGCACAAUGGGCGCAAGCCUGAUGCAGCCAUGCCGCGUGUAUGAAGAAGGCCCUAGGGUUGUAAAGUACUUUCAGUAGGGAGGCGUUACCGACAGAAGAAGCACCGGCUAACUCCGUGCCAGCAGCCGCGGUAAUAC
RNAcentral lists this ribosomal RNA (403 nucleotides) under uncultured bacterium. RNAcentral's name for it is "partial 16S ribosomal RNA". It matches the Rfam family "Bacterial small subunit ribosomal RNA", at positions 30 to 526 of the family's 1533-position model. The record is from RNAcentral.